GCCUUGGCCGCCGGGACCGCCGGGAAAGGGCCGCCCCCUCCCCCGGCAGCGCGGCCCCGCGCUUCCCUCGCCUCUCUCGCGUCCCUCGCCCGGGCGAGCGGCGGGGCCCGUCGGCUGAGCAGUAAAACCCGGCGCUGCUGAGGUGAAACCGCACUCAGGCUGAGCACACAAGACUGGACAUUACUAAAAUUAAGACCUCAACAACACCAACAUCUUCUGUCCUGCCUGUCACAGUCCCCGUGCCUGUUUACACAUCCCAGUACAAAUGCUUUUGAAUCAGUCUGAUGUAUUCACAAUCUUGCUGACCUGUUUUACCCCCGCAUCCAUUUCUGCUGACCUCCCAAGCCAGGUAUUUUUCCCUCAAGUAGACUAAUGCUGCUUGAGAAAUUAUUUCCUGCCAACAGCCCUAAUGCCAUGCCUUCAUUUUUAUUUUAUAAUCAAGCAGUCAAGACAUCUUUUAAAAUGAAAUUCCACAUGAUGUUAAGUCAGAGAACUGUAGAAUUUGUCAUCCUCUGUAAAUCGAUUGCACUUCUCAGAAGAAUUGUAUUUAAAAAAGCAAAACUAAGAUUGAACUGUGCCACAAUUACAGAGGGGUUGUGUAACUCUAAAUUUAGAAGAGUGACUUGUAUGUAUUUGUAGAUAUUUAAAUCUUUAAAUUUGCUUAAACUAAAGCAACUAAAAUAAUCUAAAUGCAAACAAAGGUGAAUAACAAAGAAUCUGGGUCGGAGUUACACGAAUAUAAGGUAAAAUAUGGCAAAAAAUGCCCCCAUCAGUGAGGGACAGAACUUGUGUUUGUAUAUGUUUUGCUGUUCCAUGUGCUUAAUUCCUUUAGCUCAGAAUUCCUCAGUUCUGUUCACUUCCUGUGCGCAGCUUUUGAUGUGAACAGUGCAAUGAGCAGCUCAUGAAGUUACUGGCAGCACAAUCUGCAGAAGGGAUGUUCUAGCACAGCCUGAUGGCUGCACUGGCACUUUAGGUGCAGUUGAGCAAGUCAUUCUACAUGAUUCUACUUCAGUUUUCCUAAUAUGAGAUGAAUCCAUCUUUGUAAAACACCAAAAAUCUAAAACUGAAGACUGUGAUGUGGGUAUCUAUUAAAAUAACUGCCACAGAAGGGAUAAAAAUCAACAGUGCUGUCCAAGUCCACUGUCCAGUGUAAAGAGAUGUUUUUACUCUUCAUUCUGACUUUGUGUAAUAGCUACAGAAUUAGGUCUUCAGUACCAGCUGAACAAGCUGGUAAAUAAUGCAUUCAGCUAAUUCAUUUCUUAGAUGGUCAUCAUAUUGUCUGUCUGGUCCAUUUUGGCUGUGCAAAGCAUUUUUAUGAUGUGUUUUAUAUCAGGUAAUGUUUGGACAGUAACAAUUCAAGAAAAAAUACAGGCUUUUUCAGGAAAUAAACAGAAAUCUUACCUUUUCUUUAUCAUCUGGCCAUCAGAUUUUACGCAGUAGGCUUCCCAUUUAUCUCUUGCUCGCUUUCUUGUUUGUACUUUAAUCUGUGAUGUCCUCAUCUGUGAUGAGAUUUCAGAGCACAACAUAAGAUAUGAAUGUAAAAGUGCUGAUGUUUCAAAGGGGUACUGUUACUUGUCCUUCUCCUAUUCUCUGUUUAGCCUGUAUUUUGAAAAAAUUGCUACUUUGAAAAUGGUUAUGUGAAUCCCAAGGAGAGAUGGAGAAGAACUGAGUAUUCCAGGUGUUUUACAUAGAUGUAUAUCUGUAGUUGUUUAUGUAUGUAUUUGUAUAAAUACAUGUAAUACAAAUUUGCAAGAAUAAAAUUUAACUUUCCUCAGAUAAAAGUUCA
Parus major (Great Tit) is the source of this 1786-nucleotide long non-coding RNA. RefSeq lists it as uncharacterized. The record is from RefSeq and is a predicted model, not a curated record. The transcript has 2 exons. NCBI's taxonomy places the organism in Eukaryota, Metazoa, Chordata, Aves, Passeriformes, Paridae.